UACGUAGGGGGCAAGCGUUGUCCGGAAUCAUUGGGCGUAAAGCGCGUGUAGGCAGUUUCGCAAGUCGGGUGUGAAAGCCCUGGGCUCAACCUAGGAAGUGCACUCGAAACUGCGAGACUUGAGUCCUGGAGAGGAAGGCGGAAUUCUCGGUGUAGAGGUGAAAUUCGUAGAUAUCGAGAGGAACACCGGUGGCGAAGGCGGCCUUCUGGACAGUGACUGACGCUGAGACGCGAAAGCGUGGGGAGCAAACAGG
Molecule: ribosomal RNA, 253 nt
Filed under: uncultured bacterium
Lineage: Bacteria
Description: partial 16S ribosomal RNA
Rfam family: Bacterial small subunit ribosomal RNA
Source: RNAcentral